GACAGAGGGUGCAAACGUUGUUCGGAAUUACUGGGCGUAAAGCGCGUGUAGGCGGUCUCGCAAGUCGGAUGUGAAAGCCCCGGGCUCAACCCGGGAAGUGCACCCGAAACUGCGUGGCUUGAGUACCGGAGAGGUUGGUGGAAUUCUCGGUGUAGAGGUGAAAUUCGUAGAUAUCGAGAGGAACACCGGUGGCGAAGGCGGCCAACUGGACGAGUACUGACGCUGAGACACGAAAGCGUGGGGAGCAAACAGG
RNAcentral lists this ribosomal RNA (253 nucleotides) under uncultured bacterium. RNAcentral's name for it is "partial 16S ribosomal RNA". It matches the Rfam family "Bacterial small subunit ribosomal RNA", at positions 524 to 776 of the family's 1533-position model. The record is from RNAcentral.